RNAcentral lists this ribosomal RNA (272 nucleotides) under uncultured Anaerococcus sp. Its description in RNAcentral is "partial 16S ribosomal RNA". It matches the Rfam family "Bacterial small subunit ribosomal RNA", at positions 524 to 796 of the family's 1533-position model. Lineage: Bacteria; Bacillati; Bacillota; Tissierellia; Tissierellales; Peptoniphilaceae. The record is from RNAcentral.
UACGUAAGGACCGAGCGUUGUCCGGAAUCAUUGGGCGUAAAGGGUACGUAGGCGGUUAGAAAAGUUAGAAGUGAAAGGCUAUAGCUCAACUAUAGUAAGCUUUUAAAACUGUUUAACUUGAGAGAUGGAAGGGAAAGUGGAAUUCCUAGUGUAGCGGUGAAAUGCGCAGAUAUUAGGAGGAAUACCGGUGGCGAAGGCGACUUUCUGGCCAUUAUCUGACGCUGAGGUACGAAAGCGUGGGUAGCAAACAGGAUUAGAAACCCGCGUAGUCC